Molecule: unclassified non-coding RNA, 544 nt
Filed under: uncultured Bartonella sp.
Lineage: Bacteria; Pseudomonadati; Pseudomonadota; Alphaproteobacteria; Hyphomicrobiales; Bartonellaceae
Description: partial 16S-23S ribosomal RNA intergenic spacer
Rfam family: tRNA (bases 104-177)
Source: RNAcentral
UAGACAAAACAAGUCCACCGUGGGCUUUGAAAAACGCUUUCCUUGAUAAAAUUUAAGCGUUUUAUAAGAGGAUGCCGGGGAAGGUUUUCCGGUUUAUCCCGGAGGGCUUGUAGCUCAGUUGGUUAGAGCGCGCGCUUGAUAAGCGUGAGGUCGGAGGUUCAAGUCCUCCCAGGCCCACCAGUUUAUCCAUUACUUUCAUAAGUGCUUUUAAAAAAUAAGUACUUCUAAAAAGAUUGCUUCUAAAAAGAUUGCUUCUAAAAAGCUUAUCAAAAUUGGCAGGCUUAUUGCUUUUGUGUGAGUAAUCCAAAGUUAAAGCAAAUUAAUGGCAAAAAAACAGUUCAAAUGCUAAAUACUAAGGAGUCAAAAUUCCUUGCAAAGUGAUUUUUACAGCGUCCAUUUGGUUGAUAUAAAUUCCAAAUGCUCAUAGACGUCAAUGCCUAUAUGAAACUAUCGGUUCAAUCAUAUCGCUUUGAGUUAUAUAGAUUUUGUAAUCCCUCUUUUGAUCGUUUUAAACGCUUUAUCCUGAUUUAGGGGCCGUAGCUCA